Molecule: transfer-messenger RNA, 357 nt
Filed under: bovine gut metagenome
Rfam family: transfer-messenger RNA
About the family: Bacterial tmRNA, also known as 10Sa RNA or SsrA, is named for its dual tRNA and mRNA-like properties.
Source: RNAcentral
GGGGGUGUUUCAGAUUCGAUUGUGCGGGUGAGUUAAAGCGCAAGCAUACCGAAGGCUCGGCUUCGUAAAAACGGAACUUUAAUUUAAAUGCUGAUAAUAAUCAAAAAUUAGCAUACGCUGCUUAAUUUGCGCGUACGUCCUGCCGAAUUUUUCCCGUCGGAUACGGAUAGGGCGUCAACUAGGCGGGGAACUGCUUUAACCGUUCUGACAGCGGCGGUUAAAGCGGAUUUUAGUUGUUAAGGAAAGACCAAAGCCCGCCGAUGGGCGUGGUUUUUCCGAGACUAAACGUCGGAUAAGUAUGUAGAAAACUUUAACGAAGCGUGCAAGACCGGAGUGCAAGUCUCCGCACUUCCACCA